This 28-nucleotide non-coding RNA is filed under the name Rattus norvegicus (Norway rat). The record is from RNAcentral. Lineage: Eukaryota; Metazoa; Chordata; Mammalia; Rodentia; Muridae.
UAGUAAUUAAGGUUGGAAUGAAAGAGUG